GGACUCUUAAAAGCAAUCUCUCUUCCCCUGACGCCUUCGAGAGCCAACGAAAAGCACGACCACCGUCAGAAGCGUGAGAUAGUUUCCCCUAUCAGACAGCACUGACCACAGGCCUUCUGCGCUCUCCUGCAACCAAGACGAUAAGGUUCAGCUUUCCACUCAUCUCUGUGUUCAAGGACACGUUGGAUCUGUGUUACUGGUGCACUUAACGUUCCUCCCCCGGACAGUGGCCAGUGCAGCACUCAGCGGGGUGUCAGGACUUCACACAUUUGUAAAGCAGCAAACACGGUGUGAAGGAGGUGACAGUGAGGCAGAUGAGCUAAUGUGAUGUGCUGCCACAGGGACGAGAGCUUCAGGACAUCAGCCCCGCUGCACAGACUGAAUAUAGGCUGCUCUGCCACAUCUGGCCACACCAAACCUACUUAAAUGAGAAGCAAAAGGUCAGUUUAGCACAUUUUGGCCUGUCAGCAACGCCCCGGGUGACCGCUGGCCAUGAUAUUACGAGCAUGCCAAGUCGCCCAGAGGUGUCCAUUCAGGCCAGUGUUCCCUCAGGCUGAGUGGGUCUAAAAGGGUUUCCUCAGAGGUAUGACAUAGUUGAAAUUCAAAGCCAGCCCUCUGGCCAUCUGAACAUGGAAAAACUUGCAGAGCAGCUGAGGCGAUGAUGACGCUUUGUUAUAAAACAUAUUAAGUGUGACAGAGAUGUUUAAAUGCCACUUUCUAGCUAUGUCUACAUCUAAAUUAAAGCCCCCCCUCCUCCUCUCAAAAAUGAGUUUUUCUUUUUGGAUGUUUGAGCUUCACUGUGCAGAAUGAUGCAUGUGCAGAGUUUGAAACCAGAAGGCUGUUUUUCCACAUUUGUCAAGUUACUCUGUGCUCAUAUUAAAAUCUGAGUUUAAAGAAGUGGACGUAUGGGCAGGAUUUUAUGACUCUCAACUAGUUUGGAAGCAAAUUAUGGUUCAAUAUGCAACUCGCACAAGUGUGAUAAGAAAAAAUACCCCAACAUUUGUUCUGGUUGGUCUUAAGUCUUGAAAUCUGGUACUGACAUACUUUGGGCAAG
This 1054-nucleotide long non-coding RNA is filed under the name Dicentrarchus labrax (European seabass). RNAcentral's name for it is "lncRNA (ENSDLAG00005031875.1)". Lineage: Eukaryota; Metazoa; Chordata; Actinopteri; Moronidae. The record is from RNAcentral.